AUUGAACGCUGGCGGCAUGCUUUACACAUGCAAGUCGAACGGUAACAGGGUGCUUGCACCGCUGACGAGUGGCGAACGGGUGAGUAAUGCGUCGGAACGUGCCGAGUAAUGGGGGAUAACGCAUCGAAAGGUGUGCUAAUACCGCAUACGCUCUGAGGAGGAAAGCUGGGGAUCGAAAGACCUGGCGUUAUUCGAGCGGCCGACGUCUGAUUAGCUAGUUGGUGAGGUAAAGGCUCACCAAGGCGACGAUCAGUAGCGGGUCUGAGAGGAUGAUCCGCCACACUGGGACUGAGACACGGCCCAGACUCCUACGGGAGGCAGCAGUGGGGAAUUUUGGACAAUGGACGCAAGUCUGAUCCAGCCAUUCCGCGUGCAGGGAUGAAGGCCCUCGGGUUGUAAACUGCUUUUGUACGGAACGAAAAGGUCUCUAUUAAUACUAAGGGGCUCAUGACGGUACCGUAAGAAUAAGCACCGGCUAACUACGUGCCAG
RNAcentral lists this ribosomal RNA (490 nucleotides) under uncultured bacterium. RNAcentral's name for it is "bacterial SSU rRNA". It matches the Rfam family "Bacterial small subunit ribosomal RNA", at positions 30 to 511 of the family's 1533-position model. The record is from RNAcentral.